UGGGGAAUUUUGCGCAAUGGGCUAACGCCUGACGCAGCAACGCCGCGUGGAGGAUGAAGGUCCUUGGAUUGUAAACUCCUGUCAGCAGGGAAAAAGCGACUUGACCUCAUACGUCAGGGAGUUGAUUGUACCUGCAGAGGAAGCCCCGGCUAACUCUGUGCCAGCAGCCGCGGUAAUACAGAGGGGGCAAGCGUUAUUCGGAAUUACUGGGCGUAAAGGGCGCGUAGGCGGCCUUGAUAGUUGGGCGUGAAAGGCCUGGGCUUAACCCGGGAACUGCGUUCAAUACUGCGAGGCUAGAGUGUGGGAGAGGUUGGUGGAAUUCCCAGUGUAGAGGUGAAAUUCGUAGAUAUUGGGAAGAACACCGGUGGCGAAGGCGGCCAACUGGACCACAACUGACGCUGAGGCGCGAAAGCGUGGGGAGCAAAC
RNAcentral lists this ribosomal RNA (426 nucleotides) under uncultured bacterium. RNAcentral describes it as "bacterial SSU rRNA". It matches the Rfam family "Bacterial small subunit ribosomal RNA", at positions 355 to 773 of the family's 1533-position model. The record is from RNAcentral.